CACCGCGGUUAUACGAGAGGCCCAAGUUGACAAACACCGGCGUAAAGCGUGGUUAAGUUAAACUCCUACUAAAGCCGAACAUCUUCAAGGCUGUUAUACGCAACCGAAGACAAGAAGUUCAACCACGAAGGUGGCUUUAUCUGCUCUGAACCCACGAAAGCUAAGGAA
RNAcentral lists this ribosomal RNA (168 nucleotides) under Psychrolutes sp. UW:151085. RNAcentral's name for it is "partial 12S rRNA". The record is from RNAcentral. Lineage: Eukaryota; Metazoa; Chordata; Actinopteri; Perciformes; Psychrolutidae.